Molecule: long non-coding RNA, 853 nt
Organism: Myotis myotis
Lineage: Eukaryota; Metazoa; Chordata; Mammalia; Chiroptera; Vespertilionidae
Exons: 3
Source: RefSeq, a predicted model, not a curated record
AGUAUUUGAGACUAUUCCAUUUUAUAUAUUCCUCAAAACAAAACAAAACAAAACAAAACAAAACGCACACACAGUAUGAAACUCUACUAUUAUAAUAAAAGGUUAGCAAAUUCUCUAUUUUGAAAUGGAAUUAAGUGACAAAUUUUUAUUUAAAUGACAUAUAUAGCAUAUCUUGGGGUGUUAUGAUUUUUAAAUGGCAACUUCUUUAGUUUCAUCUAUGUUUUUCAAAAUUUCUAUUCCAAACAGGUAUUACUUUAAUUAGAAAAAACACACACAAAAACAUGUUUUCAAGCAGGGGAAUAAGAACCCAGAAGAUAUCUGUAUAAAAGGCAUAUAACCAAAUUUCUAAUUGUAAAAGUUUUUUUCUAUUUUAGGUAUAAGUGAAAAUCUUUUGGGGGCUAUACCUAUGUACCCAAAAUACAAUGGACAGUUGCUGAAUUAGACCCCGACCCCACAGCUGAGCUAACGCCUGGCUUACAUACUGCAUGCUGCGAUCUGGGCUCAGUUAAGCUCUUUCUUCACCUCCAAGUCUUUGAAGCAGGGGAACCACCUUUCAGGCCUGGAUGUGCAAGACCUGCAGCCUCAGCAGUUUUCUCCCCACAGCAAUGAGGCAAAAAGAGAGAGAGCAGAUUAGUUGUUUCUUCUUGAACUGAAGAAGUCAACAAAAGAGAAAGUGUGGAUGCAACCAAAAUCUGCUACAUUUGGAGGAAAAUGCUUUUAUGAACACAUAUCCAAGGAGGAUAUUUCCCGAAGAGGCAGCCACAAGUAGUCAGGGUCAGAAUGACAACUCUGCGAUCAAGCCCUGCUUGCGCCCCGAUCUAGGGAGCCCAGAGCUUACGCAAAGGUGCACCAU